Molecule: long non-coding RNA, 2207 nt
Organism: Homo sapiens (human)
Lineage: Eukaryota; Metazoa; Chordata; Mammalia; Primates; Hominidae
Gene: TMC3-AS1
Product: TMC3 antisense RNA 1
Source: Ensembl
CCUUGGGCGGGCCGGGUAAGGUCCAGCCGUAUCCGCCUCCUUCAUGUCCCGCUGUGGGAGGGGCUCUGGAGCGCCGGGACUGUGAGAUGGCCAAUGACGGUCUGACCCGUUGGGCCGGGCCAGGUCGCGGACAACGUCGACCGUUUGUUUAAGAAGCGUGGACUCUUGUCCUGAGUGCACCGAGGCUUUCAGCCUGCGGGACAGUGGUGCGAUUUGCAUUAGAGAAAGGGAGAUGCCAUGUGCUGGCCCAGCACUCCAACAGGGGCCUGACCUCUAGGAACGGGACACUGGAGGAAGCCUAGACAUCUGAACAAAUCAAGUCAUCCAGAUCCACGGUCAGCUCCUGCCCCGACUUGGCCUUCCUCCUGCUGGGCUGGCCCACGGACCUCGGGAACCUGCCCUGGCUGUGGGUGACCUGCAGCCUAUCUCCCAGGACUAUGGAAGCCCCAUGCAGGAACAUGGUUCUGACACUUUGGGGAUUAUACCCUAAGCUUAAAGGACUGGAAAAGCCCCUGAAGUCCCGAGACCACAACCCUCCACCUUCUAAAGAUAAGACAAGUCACUGAAGGUCUCAGAACUGUGGCCCAUUCACCCCUUCCCUCAAGACAAGAGUGUGGCCAAGCAUCAAUCUCACCCCCAGAGACCAGACGGUGUCCAGGUCUUGGGCAGACGAAACCUGCUCCUUGGGGAUGGUCUUCCUGGCUGUGCUUCCAAAGGGCUGGCCUGCAAUCAGCUGGUUUUCACUUGAUCCUUUCGGGGUUUGCAUUAUAUCUGACUGAAGGAAUGAACUGGGAGAGAACAGCAGAGCCGCAGCGGAAUGUGGAAAGGCCCACGUCCAGACUGUUCCCAUUCUGAUUUAAAAGCCUGAUGAAGGAACAGCUGAACUCAGAGAAACAGCAGGUGAAAAGGAAAGGUCCUGUGAGGGUACAGUGAGAAGAUGGCCAUCUACCAGCCAGGAGGAAAGGCCUAACAAGAAACCAACUCUGCUGGCACCUUGAUCGUGAACUCCCGCCCUCUAGAACUGUGAGAAAAUAAACGUCUGUUUAAGCCACCUGGUCUGUGGUAUUUUGUUAUGGAAGCCCGAGCAGACCAAUAUGCCUACUAAGUAAGUACAAGUUCUAGAUAUCCAAGUGUUUUCUUUAUGUCAUCUCCUCGACAAAUUAAAUAUUUCAAUGUCCACAUUCUCAGAAAGAAAAGGAGUCAGUGUUUUAAUGGAUCCUGUUUAAUCUUUACUUCCCUGUAUCCUUAUUUCCGUGAAUGUGACUUCACAAAUGGAGUCAUCCUAUAUCCUACUCCCAAGGCACAAUCUGCUAAAAGCAAGAAAAAGGCUUUGCGCUGCUAAUUCACCCUUUUCUGCUCAGCAUUUGGCUCUAAACUGUAACCUGAGACCCUGAAAUUGCUGAGGCCCUUAACCUCUCCUUACUCCUUUGACUCAGAAUGAUCUCAGCGGGACAGUUCCUGGAGUUUCCGUUCAUGUUUCAGAACAUGACGGAGACCAAGAAAAUAAAACGUUGAUUCCCGAUGCCAUGUGGCUCAGGGUUUAGACAAUGUAUUCUGGUCACAGAAAAUUGAGACCAAAUCUGUUUUCUUGCAUCUGUUCCAUUGCCCUCUGUGACAUUAAUUCUCAACAGCAGAUUCAACGUGCUGGAACUAACCAAUGUUAGAGUGCUUAAGAAGUCAGGUUCAACUGAGCUCGGGUCACUGUGCUAGAACUAUGGUUACCAAAACUGAAGUAUGUAUUUACUCUUCAAUUCCUAUUUCAGCUGUGAAACUGUGAGUUUUAAUUAGAGAGUAAAGAGUUUGUCUCCUUAGCUUCAUGUUAGAAAGCAAAAUGAAAAAAAUUGUCUAAAACCCUUAAAAAAUAGUCCAAACCUGGGAUAAUUCUUCUCCGCUAUUCAUGAAAAUAUAUGACCUAUUUUAGGCAGGUAAAACAGAGGCAAAAUUAAAUUGAGACAUUUGAAACCAUGGAAUAAUCUAACAACACGCUUUUUUUAAUUCAUUCACAAAUGACAUGUCAAGUUCCUAAUAUUUAUAAUGAACUGCUUUAGGCAUGAGACAAUGAAAUAGUGUAUAAAGUAUUGCAAAUAAACUCAUAUAUGUAAAAUUGUUUUAAAAAUUUUAGUGUUAUGGAAAUAUAGCACUGUUGUAUUAAAUAAUAACCUAUUCUAUAAUCUAUUUUUCUUGGCUUUAGAAAGAAACAGCUCUUA